GACGAACGCUGGCGGCGUGCCUAAUACAUGCAAGUAGAACGCUGAAGGAGGAGCUUGCUUCUCUGGAUGAGUUGCGAACGGGUGAGUAGCGCGUAGGUAACCUGCCUGGUAGCGGGGGAUAACUAUUGGAAACGAUAGCUAAUACCGCAUAAUAGUAGAUGUUGCAUGACAUUUGCUUAAAAGGUGCAAUUGCAUCACUACCAGAUGGACCUGCGUUGUAUUAGCUAGUUGGUGGGGUAACGGCUCACCAAGGCGACGAUACAUAGCCGACCUGAGAGGGGGAUCGGCCACACUGGGACUGAGACACGGCCCAGACUCCUACGGGAGGCAGCAGUAGGGAAUCGUCGGCAAGGGACGGAAGUCUGACCGAGCAACGCCGCGUGAGUGAAGAAGGGUUUCGGAUCGUAAAGCUCUGUUGUAAGAGAAGAACGAGUGUGAGAGUGGAAAGUUCACACUGUGACGGUAUCUUACCAGAAAGGGACGGCUAACUACGUG
This 495-nucleotide ribosomal RNA is filed under the name uncultured bacterium. RNAcentral describes it as "partial 16S ribosomal RNA". It matches the Rfam family "Bacterial small subunit ribosomal RNA", at positions 28 to 507 of the family's 1533-position model. The record is from RNAcentral.